AUGACGGCCUCCUUGAGUAUUGUGUUUUCUGUAGUUUCCUAUAAGGACAUAUCUUACUAUGGUCCUCCUGAGUACCAGUGCCCUCACUGCAAGGCUUCUUUUUGGUUUGAGGAGAGGGCCAAUCCAUAUUCUUCAUGGGUGCUACGUAAAAUUGUUUAUAACCUUUGUUGCAAAGGUGGAAAAGUCAUUGUUAAACCUUUCAGAAACCCUCCUGCUUUAUUGAGUCGUUUAUUAUCCUGUCAUGGUGACCGUGUUUCCAAGCAAUUCCUGACAAAGAUACGGCAUCACAGUUGGACGUUUGCAUUUACGUCUAUUGUGGCGACGUCAUUCGUUCGCUGGAAGGCACGCGGGGGUUAA
RNAcentral lists this ribosomal RNA (357 nucleotides) under Triticum aestivum (bread wheat). RNAcentral describes it as "partial small subunit ribosomal RNA". The record is from RNAcentral. Lineage: Eukaryota; Viridiplantae; Streptophyta; Magnoliopsida; Poales; Poaceae.